RNAcentral lists this long non-coding RNA (1026 nucleotides) under Populus tremula. Its description in RNAcentral is "long non-coding RNA (PTRE_LNC002222)". The record is from RNAcentral. Lineage: Eukaryota; Viridiplantae; Streptophyta; Magnoliopsida; Malpighiales; Salicaceae.
CAGCAUAAGGAGAAAGAGGCCUGGUUGUCUUCGUUUCUACUGGACCUGGUUUUGUUUCAGCUACGCCAGGUGCUGGCAUAGGUGGAGUAUCUUGAGUAGAAGGCUUUGAUACUGCUUCUAAUGGACUGGCACUUUCUUUCUUGCCACUACUGGGUUGAGUUGGAGUGGGAGAAGUAGGUGGUUUCAGAUCAUCGUAACUGUCCAUAACAGUAACACAAUCGCAUAACUUAGCAGCAGCACAGCAAAAACAUAGACUUUUUGGACAGAAAGUAAGUUCAUUUUGUUAAAUGUUGUAUUCCACAACGAGCAAUUUUUUUUUUUUAUCAAAUUACAGACUCUCUAUGAUAAUGGUCAGAUUCAAGGCCCUCAACUUUUGGCUUUGUCCCUCUCAAUAGAAGGCCUGCAUGUGGCCUUGAAAGAUCAGAACAGAGCUUCACAUGACUACAAGAACCUAACAUGGAACUCAUUGCAGCUACAACAAAUAACAGUUCUUGAUGUAGCUGCUCAAACAAAGUGGGAACAUGUUAGAUUGGACUUACGCGGUAUAAGGAGGGAGUGGCCUUGUCACCAUGGGAAACUUUCACAGUUGAAGAUUACGUGAGAGAAUAAAACUUGGGUGCUCAAUUCUCAUUAUAUAUCAAAAACAUGUUUCGUGUGCCAGAUGCAAUCACCAGUCAUUAUAUGAAGUAGCAGGAGCAGUAAAAGUGUAAAGUACUAAAAGAAGGCUUACGCAGCAUAUGGAGAAAGAGGCCUGGUUGUCUUCGUUUCUACCGGACCUGGUUUUGUUUCAGCUACGCCAGGUGCUGGCAUAGGUGGAGUAUCUGGAGUAGCAGGCUUUGAUACUGCUUCUAAUGGACUGGCACUUUCUUUCUUGCUACUGGGUUGUGUAGGAGUGGGAGAAGUAGGUGGUUUCAGAUCAUCAUAACUGUCCAUAACAGUAACACAAUCGCAUAACUUAGCGGCAGCAAAAACAUGUAGACUUUUUGGACUGAAAGUAAGUUCAUUUUGUUAAAUGUUGUAUUCCAU